This 301-nucleotide ribosomal RNA is filed under the name uncultured bacterium. RNAcentral describes it as "partial 16S ribosomal RNA". It matches the Rfam family "Bacterial small subunit ribosomal RNA", at positions 509 to 809 of the family's 1533-position model. The record is from RNAcentral.
CAGCCGCCGCGGUAAUACGGAGGGUGCAAGCGUUAAUCGGAAUUACUGGGCGUAAAGCGCACGCAGGCGGUCUGACAAGUCAGAUGUGAAAUCCCCGGGCUUAACCUGGGAACUGCAUUUGAAACUGUCAGGCUGGAGUCUUGUAGAGGGGGGUAGAAUUCCAGGUGUAGCGGUGAAAUGCGUAGAGAUCUGGAGGAAUACCGGUGGCGAAGGCGGCCCCCUGGACAAAGACUGACGCUCAGGUGCGAAAGCGUGGGGAGCAAACAGGAUUAGAGACCCCGGUAGUCCCUGUCUCUUAUAU